Molecule: ribosomal RNA, 253 nt
Filed under: uncultured bacterium
Lineage: Bacteria
Description: partial 16S ribosomal RNA
Rfam family: Bacterial small subunit ribosomal RNA
Source: RNAcentral
UACGUAGGUGGCGAGCGUUAUUCGGAUUUAUUGGGCGUAGAGGGUUCGUAGGGGGCUAGGUAAGUUUGAUGUGAAAUCCUGCGGCUUAACUGCAGAACUGCAUUGGAUACUGCCUGGCUAGAGGUUCGGAGAGGAAAGCAGAAUUCCCGGUGUAGCGGUGGAAUGCGUAGAUAUCGGGAGGAAUACCAAAAGCGGAGGCAGCUUUCUGGCCGACACCUGACCCUGAGGAACGAAAGCCUGGGGAGCAAACAGG